This is a long non-coding RNA of Phlebotomus papatasi, 825 nucleotides long. RefSeq lists it as uncharacterized. Lineage: Eukaryota; Metazoa; Arthropoda; Insecta; Diptera; Psychodidae. The transcript is spliced from 3 exons. The record is from RefSeq and is a predicted model, not a curated record.
AAUUCUCUGCGGUGGCCACCAAUGCGGCGGCGCUACGGUAUUUUCCCCACAUUCACCACCAAAAGUUCGGUGUUUGUACAGUAGUACGACGUGUAGGACUCUGUAUAGUACUUGUCUUAUGGAAAAUUUGUAUAGCGUGACACAAGACGUUCCUGGAACUUUGUUCCGGAUUCGCCUGUCAGAUGGCUGAUUCCUCAGAGUUUUGUGAAUUUUCUUAUUAGUGAAAAAUGAUAAAUUAGUGUUUUUUCAAGCAAUUGACCAGCAGGAUUCCAGAGAACAGUACAGAGUAUUUCACAACAAAUUUCAAAACUUCGAAACUGGACAUUAUUGUAAACAACUUGAUUGGAAGAUGAAAGAACACCCUGGAAUUCCACGUAUUCUAAUAUAGCUCAGAGAAACUGGAGUGAACCGAGUUAGCACUUAUUGAGAGCCAGCAGACGAUAAUCAGUUAAAUGACGAGAAGGACGCACAUAAGGAAACACAAGCGGUUAAGGAAACAUCGGCAGAAAACAUAAUUUCUAAUUAAUUUAAAUAUAUUGUUCAAAUUUUCUCCGUUUUGUAUGGUAUUCGCACUUUCACGAUUUGAGUAGCACAAUAUGCAUGGAUUAAUACAUUUUUAAUAAAACACUUUUUUUUAAUAAAAUAUUAAUCAAUAGUUAAUUAUUAUUGAAAGAAAUUGUUUUUUGUGCCUAAUUAUCAUCUAAUUUUUAUCACUAGAAUGAAUGAAACGCCACUCUUUAAUAAUCUUUUUAAGAAAAUCAGCAAAAAAUAUUUAUGAAAAUUUAAAAUUAAGGAUAAUGUUCAGUAUAAACCUUUUUAAGAUAA